RNAcentral lists this ribosomal RNA (695 nucleotides) under Herpetocypris chevreuxi. RNAcentral describes it as "SSU rRNA". It matches the Rfam family "Eukaryotic small subunit ribosomal RNA", at positions 1052 to 1761 of the family's 1831-position model. The record is from RNAcentral. Lineage: Eukaryota; Metazoa; Arthropoda; Ostracoda; Podocopida; Cyprididae.
UCAUAUCAGGAGCAGGUCAAUUCCAUAGACCUGACGGGCAGCAUCCGAGCAAACCAAAGUUUUUGGAUUCCGGGGGAAGUAUGGUUGCAAAGCUGGAACUUAAAGGAAUUGACGGAAGGGCACCACCAGGAGUGGAGCCUGUGGCUUAAUUUGACUCAACACGGGAAACCUCACCAGGCCCAGACACUAGAAGGAUUGACAGAUUGAGAGCUCUUUCUUGAUUUGGUGGGUGGUGGUGCAUGGCCGUUCUUAGUUGGUGGAGUGAUUUGUCUGGUUAAUUCCGAUAACGAACGAGACUCUGGCCUACUAAAUAGAAGACGGAUCUAUUGGUCCGAUACCUCUUCUUAGAGGGACAAGGCAGCUCCAAGCUGCGUGAAAUGGGGCAAUAACAGGUCUGUGAUGCCCUUAGAUGUUCUGGGCCGCACACGCGCUACACUGAGGGAGGCAACGAGUUCUCCUGGCUCGAAAGGGCUGGGUAACCUGUUGAAUCUCCCUCGUGCUGGGGAUUGAGGUUUGCAAUUAUCCUUCAUGAACGAGGAAUUCCCAGUAAGUGCAAGUCAUAAGCUUGCGCUGACUACGUCCCUGCCCUUUGUACACACCGCCCGUCGCUACUACCGAUUGAAUGAUUUAGUGAGGACUUCGGACUGGGACCGUUGCGGCUUUCGGGUUGCGUCGGUACUCUGGAAAGAUGUCCA